CCUACGGGAGGCAGCAGUAGGGAAUCUUCCACAAUGGGCGAAAGCCUGAUGGAGCAACGCCGCGUGGGUGAAGAAGGUCUUCGGAUCGUAAAACCCUGUUGUUAGAGAAGAAAGUGCGUGAGAGUAACUGUUCACGUUUCGACGGUAUCUAACCAGAAAGCCACGGCUAACUACGUGCUAGCAGCCGCGGUAAUAAGUAGGUGGCAAGCGUUAUCCGGAUUUAUUGGGCGUAAGGGGAACGCAGGCGGUCUUUUAGGUCUGAUGUGAAAGCCUUCGGCUUAACCGGAGUAGUGCAUUGGAAUCUGAGAGACUUGAGUGCAUAAGAGGAGAGUGGAACCCAAUGUGUAGCGGUGA
RNAcentral lists this ribosomal RNA (354 nucleotides) under uncultured bacterium. RNAcentral describes it as "partial 16S ribosomal RNA". It matches the Rfam family "Bacterial small subunit ribosomal RNA", at positions 338 to 684 of the family's 1533-position model. The record is from RNAcentral.